This 1552-nucleotide ribosomal RNA is filed under the name Pectobacterium carotovorum. Its description in RNAcentral is "bacterial SSU rRNA". It matches the Rfam family "Bacterial small subunit ribosomal RNA". Lineage: Bacteria; Pseudomonadati; Pseudomonadota; Gammaproteobacteria; Enterobacterales; Pectobacteriaceae. The record is from RNAcentral.
AAAUUGAAGAGUUUGAUCAUGGCUCAGAUUGAACGCUGGCGGCAGGCCUAACACAUGCAAGUCGAGCGGUAGCACAGAGGAGCUUGCUCCUUGGGUGACGAGCGGCGGACGGGUGAGUAAUGUCUGGGAAACUGCCUGAUGGAGGGGGAUAACUACUGGAAACGGUAGCUAAUACCGCAUAACCUCGCAAGAGCAAAGAGGGGGACCUUAGGGCCUCUCGCCAUCAGAUGUGCCCAGAUGGGAUUAGCUAGUAGGUGAGGUAAUGGCUCACCUAGGCGACGAUCCCUAGCUGGUCUGAGAGGAUGACCAGCCACACUGGAACUGAGACACGGUCCAGACUCCUACGGGAGGCAGCAGUGGGGAAUAUUGCACAAUGGGCGCAAGCCUGAUGCAGCCAUGCCGCGUGUGUGAAGAAGGCCUUCGGGUUGUAAAGCACUUUCAGCGAGGAGGAAGGCGGUAAGGUUAAUAACCUUAUCGAUUGACGUUACUCGCAGAAGAAGCACCGGCUAACUCCGUGCCAGCAGCCGCGGUAAUACGGAGGGUGCAAGCGUUAAUCGGAAUGACUGGGCGUAAAGCGCACGCAGGCGGUCUGUUAAGUUGGAUGUGAAAUCCCCGGGCUUAACCUGGGAACUGCAUUCAAAACUGACAGGCUAGAGUCUUGUAGAGGGGGGUAGAAUUCCAGGUGUAGCGGUGAAAUGCGUAGAGAUCUGGAGGAAUACCGGUGGCGAAGGCGGCCCCCUGGACAAAGACUGACGCUCAGGUGCGAAAGCGUGGGGAGCAAACAGGAUUAGAUACCCUGGUAGUCCACGCUGUAAACGAUGUCGAUUUGGAGGUUGUGCCCUUGAGGCGUGGCUUCCGGAGCUAACGCGUUAAAUCGACCGCCUGGGGAGUACGGCCGCAAGGUUAAAACUCAAAUGAAUUGACGGGGGCCCGCACAAGCGGUGGAGCAUGUGGUUUAAUUCGAUGCAACGCGAAGAACCUUACCUACUCUUGACAUCCACAGAAUUUGGUAGAGAUACCUUAGUGCCUUCGGGAACUGUGAGACAGGUGCUGCAUGGCUGUCGUCAGCUCGUGUUGUGAAAUGUUGGGUUAAGUCCCGCAACGAGCGCAACCCUUAUCCUUUGUUGCCAGCGAUUCGGUCGGGAACUCAAAGGGAGACUGCCGGUGAUAAACCGGAGGAAGGUGGGGGAUGACGUCAAGUCAUCAUGGCCCUUACGAGUAGGGCUACACACGUGCUACAAUGGCGUAUACAAAGAGAAGCGACCUCGCGAGAGCAAGCGGACCUCAUAAAGUACGUCGUAGUCCGGAUUGGAGUCUGCAACUCGACUCCAUGAAGUCGGAAUCGCUAGUAAUCGUAGAUCAGAAUGCUACGGUGAAUACGUUCCCGGGCCUUGUACACACCGCCCGUCACACCAUGGGAGUGGGUUGCAAAAGAAGUAGGUAGCUUAACCUUCGGGAGGGCGCUUACCACUUUGUGAUUCAUGACUGGGGUGAAGUCGUAACAAGGUAACCGUAGGGGAACCUGCGGUUGGAUCACCUCCUUACCAAGAAG